GAGGAAAGCUCUCUCUAAGGACAGAUAAAAGCGUUUCAGGUCUGGGUAACGUCUCUGCCUGCAUUGCUCUUCUGGCAGAGUCUGCUCGCGCAGAGAGAUGUGAGGCACUUUGCUCCUGCCUAAAGCAGGGCCUUGCUUCCUGAGCCUGAGAAUCAGGUCUGCGGUACGCACUCGUACAUGCUGCAGCUGGUAUCAGAUGCAUAUUGAAAAAUUCAGCACAGACACAGAAUAUGGACUGCUCUGCACUUCUAAAGGAAUUAUGACUUGAAAUUCAUGCUGCUACUGUUCUUUUAAGGCUGUUCAGGCACAACAGGGAGGACUGAACUGGACA
RNAcentral lists this long non-coding RNA (331 nucleotides) under Struthio camelus australis. RNAcentral's name for it is "lncRNA (ENSSCUG00000002538.1)". Lineage: Eukaryota; Metazoa; Chordata; Aves; Struthioniformes; Struthionidae. The record is from RNAcentral.